CAGUGAUAAUAGAGAAAAGCAACUAAAAACAAUGUUCUUUACUUGGGUCAGGUGCAUUUCAUCCACCAACUUGGAGUAAUGAGAUUACCACAAAUUGCCAGAUGGUCACAUCAAAUUUUUAGCAGCAUCGGUGAUAAUAGAAAAAGGCCUUCAAAAUAUCUCUUUAAUAAUCAGCACUUGCUAAUGCUGGUUUAGAAAAUAUCUGAGAUUAAUAAGCCAUGAUCUCAGGGCCCCUUUUAUAAUGUCUGGUCUAACGCACACAGCACAUAGGAUGUGAGACAAAAGUCUCACAUGGAAAUAGCCACUUCAACCUCUGUCCCAUGGUUAAUUCUAGUUCUGGCUUGAGUUCUACCAGUCAUGAAAUCAACUGAGCACAAGUGUGCAAAUGUAGCCAGCUCAGCCAAAACCCUGGGUCCUCAGCAUUAGAUAUAGAUUUGAGGGAAACCAGGUUGUAGCAUGUGAAUUUAUUUUGUAAUGUAACAUUAUACUAUUAUGAAAUGGAAAAAAUAAAAGUAUAAAGCCUCAACCAUUACAUAUUUUGCAAUUUGGGCUAUCUCCCAAUGUGUAAUUUGUUUGACUAACUUUAUUUUAAUGAAUAUUAAAUUCCCUCAAGUGCCCAUUACAUUUAAUUCAUUAAAGUCAUACAUACCCCAGAACAUUUAUCUAUCUCCAAAAGAAGGCAAAAAAUCCUCAAUAAAACAUGGAUCACAGUACAGGGAACAAAUUAGAAAUUUGCUGAUAAAAGUUUAGAGAUAUGCUGUAGUUUCACAGACUUUAGCAAUAAACUAAGACUUAAAACCUCAACUCAAAUUUAUUUAUUUUUGUGGUACUGGGGAUGGAACCCAAG
RNAcentral lists this long non-coding RNA (847 nucleotides) under Marmota monax (woodchuck). Lineage: Eukaryota; Metazoa; Chordata; Mammalia; Rodentia; Sciuridae. The record is from RNAcentral.